This 249-nucleotide ribosomal RNA is filed under the name uncultured Actinomycetales bacterium. Its description in RNAcentral is "partial 16S ribosomal RNA". It matches the Rfam family "Bacterial small subunit ribosomal RNA", at positions 82 to 334 of the family's 1533-position model. The record is from RNAcentral. Lineage: Bacteria; Bacillati; Actinomycetota; Actinomycetes; Actinomycetales.
CGGAGGUACUCGAGUGGCGAACGGGUGAGUAACACGUGGGUGAUCUGCCCUGCACUCUGGGAUAAGCUUGGGAAACUGGGUCUAAUACCGGAUAGGAGCCAUCUUUAGUGUGGUGGUUGGAAAGUUUUUUCGGUGUAGGAUGAGCUCGCGGCCUAUCAGCUUGUUGGUGGGGUAAUAGCCUACCAAGGCGGCGACGGGUAGCCGGCCCGAGAGGGUGUACGGCCACAUUGGGACUGAGAUACGGCCCAG